RNA transcript from Nothoprocta perdicaria, 6027 nucleotides. It is a transcript of the gene named PITPNM family member 3, with no coding region annotated. The record is from RefSeq and is a predicted model, not a curated record. The transcript is spliced from 22 exons. NCBI's taxonomy places the organism in Eukaryota, Metazoa, Chordata, Aves, Tinamiformes, Tinamidae.
CGCCAUGGCGGAAGCUCCGCGCUCAGCUGGCCCGCGCAGAUUCAGUGGUUCUCAGUGGCACGUGCAGAACAUCCUCAGUGACUCAGUGGAGAGCUCCGAUGAUGAAUUCUUUGAUGCUCGAGAAGAGAUGGUGGAAGGAAAAAAUGCAAUUCUAAUAGGCAUGAGCCAGUGGAACUCAAAUGACCUCGUUGAGCAGAUAGAAACAAUUGGGAAGCUAGAGGAAAAUCAAGGUGAGGUGUCUGCAUUUUGCUCAUCUGACUUUCUACAGGAAAAACAACGUGAAUUAUAUAAAGCCUCUUUAAGGAAACAAAGAUUCCCUGCACAAAACAGUAUUGAAAUACAUGAGGACAAUGAGGGAGGAGCUCAAAACCAAAAAUGCCGAACUCAUGUGCUCAUUUUGAUACUACAUGGUGGGAACAUCUUAGACACUGGAGGAGGGGACCAGAACAGCAAGUUGGCAGACAUCAACACCUUCAAUUCUGUGUUUGAGAAGGUGACCCAAGCCCAUUUCCCUGCUGCUUUGGGCCACAUCUUAAUCAGACUUGUUCCCUGCCCAGCAGUCUGUUCGUCGGCUUUCUCUCUUGUUUCCAACCUGAAUCCAUACAGCUAUGAUGAGAACUGUCUCAGCAGUAGUGAAGACCACAUCCCACUGGCUGCCUUGCCUUUGCUGGCUAUUUCAUCCCCACACUACCAGGAUGCAGUUGCCUUGGUGAUUAGCAGAGCCAACCAAGUUUAUAACGAAUUUCUCAAAUCUGCAGAUGGGGCUGGUUUUAAUGGUCAGGUGUGUCUCAUUGGUGACUGCAUAGGAGGAAUUUUGGGUUUUGAUGCCAUCUGCUGCAAUGCUAACAUGGCUGAUGAGAGUCAGAACAGCAGCAGGAGAGGAAGCAUCAGCAGCAUUCAGAAUCAUACCCUCUUAGCAGAGGACUCUAGCCUGGAUGGCAACAAGCGCCUCAGCAAAAGCAAUAUUGAUAUCUCGGGAAUUGUGGAGGAUGAGGAACCAAGCCAGUCGCUACCACGGAAACAAAGUGACUCAUCCACUUAUGACUGUGAUACUAUAACUCAACAUCAUGCUUUCCUUUCUAGUGCAUUUUCUUUGCCCAGCAUCCACUCAAAUGUGUUGAAAGAUGAUGCAGACUUUCCUCCUGUGAAUAGCUCCAGUCUCUCAGAAGUAAACCUGGGCCGAUUUGAAUUCGAGGUGUCUGAUUUCUUCCUCUUUGGAUCGCCGCUUGGUUUGGUGCUGGCCCUGAGGAGUACUGUUUUGCCUGGCCUGGAUGUAUGCCAGAUCCGCCCAGCCUGCAGCCAGGUGUACAGUUUCUUUCACUCUGCUGAUCCUUCUGCCUGUAGACUUGAACCAUUGCUGGAGAGAAGAUUCCAUCUCCUGCCUCCAUUCAAUGUCCCACGGUACCAGAGAUACCCUCUGGGGGAUGGAAAAUCUCACCAGUUAGGUGAUGCUUUACACAGUCAUAGUGCUCUAUUCCUUGAGAACAGCUCUUUGAACAUGCCUUUUCUUCAAGAGACUUCUGAGUUUCCAAAUGUACCCAGUCAACUGCAGGGAAAAUCAAGGAGAUCAAGCUUGGUCAGCACAAACAGUGAAACCUCGGGGUCAACAGAGAGUUUGCCGUCUACGUACCUCACCAACAUUACUGCCAAGUGGUGGGGAACAAAGCGAAUAGAUUAUGCCUUGUACUGUCCAGAUGUACUGACUGCGUUUCCAACUGUGGCCCUGCCACAUCUCUUCCAUGCCAGCUACUGGGAAUCAACAGAUGUUGUGGCAUUCAUUUUGAGACAGGUGAUGAGGUAUGAAAAUGUUAAUUUCAAGGAAAACGACAGCCUGGAUCCAGCAACACUAAGCCCAUCCAAUCCACGAGAAAAAUGGCUACGCAGAAGGACGCAUGUCAAGUUGAGAAAUGUGACUGCCAAUCACCGAGCUAAUGAUAUCAUUGCAGCAGAAGAUGGUCCACAAGUACUGGUUGGGCGCUUUAUGUAUGGGCCUCUGGAUAUGGUAGCUUUAACGGGUGAAAAGGUUGAUAUCUUCAUAAUGACUGAGCCAUCUUCAGGUAGAUGGGUGUAUUUUGACACAGAGAUAUCCAACAGCAGUGGUCGAAUAUCAUACAACAUACCCGAACAGAGGAGGCUCAGAGUUGGCGUGUAUCCUAUCAAAAUGGUGGUCAGAGGGGACCAGAGCAGUGCCACAAGUUAUAUGACCGUGCUUCCCCGAGGAAUGGAAUGUGUGGUCUUCAGCAUUGAUGGUUCAUUUGCAGCAAGUGUGUCGAUUAUGGGAAGUGACCCCAAAGUCCGAGCUGGGGCAGUUGAUGUUGUUAGGCAUUGGCAAGAUCUGGGAUAUCUAAUCAUCUAUAUCACUGGCCGUCCAGAUAUGCAAAAGCAACGUGUGGUUUCCUGGUUGUCUCAACACAACUUUCCACAAGGAAUGAUCUUCUUCUCAGAUGGACUUGUUCAUGACCCACUGCGACAAAAGACUAUUUUUCUCCGGAAUCUCAUGCAAGAGUGCCACAUCAAAAUCUGUGCUGCAUAUGGUUCCAUGAAAGAUAUUUCUGUAUACAGUGUUUUGGCUCUGUCACCAUCUCAAAUCUACAUUGUUGGAAGGUCAACAAAGAAAUACCAGACACAGUGUCAAUUUCUCAGUGAAGGUUAUGCAGCCCAUUUGGCUUCACUGGAGUUCAGUCUCCAUUCACGAUCCAAAAAAAACAACUCUCGGAUGAUCUUGAGAAAAGGCAGCUUUGGCCUCCAUUCCCAACCUGAGUUUUUGCGCAAGAGAAACCAUCUCCGUAGGACUAUGUCUGUGCAGCAACCUGACCCACCUUCUUCCAACCCCAAACCAGAGCGUGCCCAGAGCCAGCCCGAGUCAGACAAAGAUCAUGAUAGGCAUUUGCCCUCCAUUGCGUGGGUCCGAGGUGGAGUUCACAAAUUUGAAUCUGUCCCCUAGAAAGAUGGAAGAUACAGAUCUUGGGUGCACUCCAUUAGGCUUGUAGGCAUGGCAUGCCUCAAAGGUAAUAUUCAGGCAAUUUCAAAGUAGGAGGCUGGGAGAGAUCUGUACCUCAGUCUUCCCUUCUCUGGAAUCUGCAUUAUUACACCAACCUGGGAACUUCCACUUUUUUGCUUUUGACAUGUUUGUUGGGAAACUUUAAAACAAUCUGAAACUGCAAUGCUGAAGUACUUGCAAUAGUAACAGGAAAUGUCUUAUGGUAUAUUUUAUAAUAAAUAUAAUAAAAUGUGCAAUAAGAGGAAAAAGGUGUAGUAGGUUGAAUUUGCUCGAAGGAAGGACCGUGAUACCAGCUAACUAGGAUAAAUCCUGGAGGUUACAGCAAAAGCUUACACUUUAAAAACUAGUUGUAUCUGUUGCUGCUUUGCUUUUGAAAAGACUGUACAUUUCCAAGGGAAGCAGUUUUGGGAACCACAAUAAUGGGUGGUCAGGAUUUAUAUGGCAAAAUGCCUUGGGUGCCUUAGACCCAAGAUUUUCUUUAAAUUUGCAGAAUUGGUGAACAGACACCAACAGGAGCACUCAUUUGUGAGGUGCUAGGCAUCAAGUAAAUAGAAGUCUGCUUCUGAAGUAGAUUGUAAAUGCUUCACAUUAGAAAUAAAUGUCUCUGCAGUCUGAAGCAGUUAGUGUUGCUGUAUACCAAGUGAUGUGUAAAGUGUACAAGAUCCCAUUGUUUUGUGGAACUUAGUGACUGUGCAAAAUAUGUGAACUGCUCCAAGCAAGGAAAUGGCUAUAAUCAUAGCAGACUGAGACGUGGAUCCGAAGAUGUAAGGAGAAGAAUACACAAGUUGUAUCAGACAGCAGAUUCCAUCUCCUCUGUCCAGCUCACUGCUAGUAUAGCUGCCAGAGCUAGUAAGAUGUCAAUGCAGUAAAGGCAUGUCUGAUAUUUGUUCUGUGAUCCUUCCUACCAAGUGUACCUUGUUUUGGCAGCUGCCAACAAAAUGCCCAGGGUACAUGCUUUGAAAAGAUCAGAUACUCCAAGAGACCCCCAAAUCAGUUCUUCAGUUUUGAGUUAUUGUGGUAGGAAGACCCAAAUUUGCCCUUUUCAAAACAAAACAUCUCUGUGGAAUUCUGUGGCAGGCAUUAGAAGAAGUGACGUCUGAACACAAGAAAGGAGAAAUCUCCUGGGAUUACUAAUUUUGCAAGAAAACAUGUUAUGAAUGCUCUGGUUUUAUGUAUUUCUUUUAGUAGCUCUGUCACCUUUAUAGCAGUCAUUGUGCUUUCAUUUAAGAGUAAUAUCACUUCAGGAGUGAAAGUAAGUUCCUGGUCUGUGUGCAUGCUUUAGAAUGGUAAAAAUGUAUAUGACAUUGAAGUUAAGCUGAAAAUAUUUUUCCAACUUCAUUUCCUAAAAUGCACAGAAGCUUGCAUGGCCUUUAUAUACUUCCAACACUAAUUACUGCUCAGGGAUAGAAUGGUUUGCCAGCUGAUCACAUGCCUCCAAGUACAUAUUUUUGCAAACACUGUUACAGGCAUCAGUUUGGAGUUUAAUGCUUCAUGCUAAUGAGGAGCUGAUGUCUGAAGGAUUCACUGCCAGAGGCAUUUGUUUUGAAAGUACUAGCAAGUUGCUGCUAAACUGAUGAGUUUUGUUAGAAGUGCAAGUACAAAAGAGGUGGUUAUGAUUUUGACAUCUCACAUCUAGACUGGCAAUGUAACAGCCUAGUUGUGGCAGUGGAAAACGGUAUCUCAUGCAUGUAGAAACACUAGGUUUUGCAGUUAUAUUCAUGCUUGAUAUUUGCCUGAUGAAUCACUAAUUUUACCAUAUAGUUUAGUCUCUUGUUACCACUUAAAACAUUUUCUUCCUAUCAGAACUUCAGUUUUAUGCUUUGUCCACACAAAAGUGUAUGUAGCAGUUCAUAGUCAUUCAGUUUGGAAGUGGAUGCCUGUUUUUAUUCAGUUUUAGUUCAGUUUUCACCAAAUAAUUACCAAUGCUCUUAAACAGGCUUUUUUGCUGUCAUGAACUUUAUAGGCUGUAAGAGGGUUAAAACAUGUGCAGAGGGGAAAGGGACAAAGUAGUCGGGGAAUCAGGGAUGCUGAAGGAAUGCAUGCUUAGACCCAUCAAUAGUUACAGCACCUUUAGUGCUUCCAGACUGAUUAAUAUGAUUAAUACAAAAAAGCACAUAAUCUUCUGACCUGUGGAAUGGAGGAAGCAUUAUUGAAACAUUAGGGAUACUGAAUUUGUUACUCCAAUGGCUACUGAAGCAGUAGCAUAAGUCAAUGCACAGGGAAGGCCACACCUAAACAUAUUUAUGUUUGUCACUGGUUGAUAUAGAUCCGAUAUUUACGUUCACAGUGGGGGGGGCAGGGGAGGGAGGAAGCAGUUAUUAAUAGCAGUGGUGGACUGUUAUCUGUGAUAUUGUGAAAACAGACCUUCACAACUAUGGUAUAUUUUGUGCUUGUGUGUAUAGUUACUGCAUCUAUAGCCCCUUAGGUAAAGCUUUUUGUUCAGCUUGCACAGCAAAUCUAUAACUAAUGUGCAUUUUUUAUAAUGGCUGUUAGUUCAAUUUUGAUAUCCUGUUAGGAAUGUUUGAAAUAAAGGUAACUGUAAAAAGACUGCAGAAUAUUCCACAGAUCUGAAUAGUAAUGUUGAUCCAAAUUGCUUAUUUUGAAUAAGAAAUGUUUAAAGCAAAAUAUUUACCUACACUAGUGCUCUUGGUACAGAAUCUUGCUUGACCAAAAUAUCGUUUAGUUUUGUGACAUGGUUUAUAUAUAUUACUCAGCAUAGAAUUGUGUCGGGUGUGAAAAUAACAUGGCAUUAAUCAUCAUUCUUGUUUUGGGGGUUCAUGAGUCAGCUGCCAUUUUGAUUAGAUGACAAUGGAAUCUUUAAUUUCUUACAGAUCACCUCUCCUAUUCCUUUAGGACAUAAGGAAAUUAUCUCAAAGCAAAAACAUACACCACUGUUUCAGUUCAAAUUCCAUGUAGCCACUAUCAGUAAAAUACAAAGGAAAAUACAUAUACAAUUUAAUCUACUAUUAAACUUAGCAGAAAAUGACAAUUGACUGAAAGCUCCAACAUUCUGCAAAUUUUUUCUU